Molecule: ribosomal RNA, 301 nt
Filed under: uncultured bacterium
Lineage: Bacteria
Description: partial 16S ribosomal RNA
Rfam family: Bacterial small subunit ribosomal RNA
Source: RNAcentral
CAGUAGCCGCGGGAAUACGUAGGGUGCGAGCGUUAAUCGGAAUUACUGGGCGUAAAGCGUGCGCAGGCGGUUAUAUAAGACAGAUGUGAAAUCCCCGGGCUCAACCUGGGACCUGCAUUUGUGACUGUAUAGCUAGAGUACGGUAGAGGGGGAUGGAAUUCCGCGUGUAGCAGUGAAAUGCGUAGAUAUGCGGAGGAACACCGAUGGCGAAGGCAAUCCCCUGGACCUGUGCUGACGCUCAUGCACGAAAGCGUGGGGAGCAAACAGGAUUAGAUACCCCGGUAGUCCCUGUCUCUUAUAC